AGACAGUGUUGAAAUUUGCCAUCUUAUAAUCAUUCCCAUGGCAACAAGCUGUGAGAAGAGAAACAUAGGGUUAAGAUUUCACUGCAGGAAUCAAGCAGAUGGAAAAAUCAGGCUGUGAGGGAGAAAACCUUUAUUUAAACAUAAAUAUCUUUAGGAAGAGAAUGAAGAAAUGAGAAACUGACUAAAAGCAACUUAGAAAGACAUGAGUUUGUCCUUUGCUAUGCUGCUCAUGAAUGCUCGGAUGCCAGCAAUGACGCAAGAAACAGAUUUCAUAUUAGUAAAAGAAAACAGUCUUGAAGCAGCUUUUAUGAAGGAUAAAGAGAAGCAAGUAACUUAGUUAUGUUAAACCUGUAUUUCUGCAUCACUGAACCAAACACAGAUGGAAACUUAACUGGAUCCAAAGAAGCAUUAUAAAUGAGAAACGCACUGUUGAUAUGACGGCCCUGGCCCCCAGACCACUCCUGGCAGUCAAAGGCCUCCACGCGCACUCCCACUUCGACACUGCAGAUGGGCGACAAGGGCAGUGGGCAGAGAACCUGAGCAUGCCAGGCCUACUCUGCCCACUGCCCCACCACCUCCUCCAGGGAAGGAAGAGAAUGAGGACCCUGGGUUGUUUCAUUGUCAUCUGCUAAUCUAUGCAACUGUUAACAUCCAUUUCAUCGGGUCGAUUGAUCUGAUGUACAAGCUCCUGGGAGCAUUUCUGCUUUACUUUCCCACUUUCAAGUGGUAAAAAGGCCAGUGGAACUCUAUAUAACUUCAUGAACAUAUUUUGGUAAUGGGGGAGGGGGUGGUUAAAUUGUGCCAAAGUCAAGUUUUCUCUCCUAAAAACAAUAGUCCUAUAAUUUAAA
Long non-coding RNA from Mesoplodon densirostris (Blainville's beaked whale), 848 nucleotides. RefSeq lists it as uncharacterized. The record is from RefSeq and is a predicted model, not a curated record. NCBI's taxonomy places the organism in Eukaryota, Metazoa, Chordata, Mammalia, Artiodactyla, Ziphiidae. The transcript has 3 exons.